CAUGGAGGGUGAGAAUCCCGUCCGGUUGAUCAUUGCGUUUUACGAUACGCUUUCAAAGAGUCAAGUUGUUUGGGAUUGCAGCUUAAAAUGGGAGGUAAAUUUCUCCUAAGGCUAAAUAACGGUGAGAGACCGAUAGCGAACAAGUACCGUGAGGGAAAGAUGAAAAGAACUUUGAAAAGAGAGUUAAAUAGUACGUGAAAUUGUUGAAAGGAAACGAUUGAAGCCAGUCGUACCUGUGGGUAAUCAGCCUUUUGGGUGUGAUUAUGUGGAGUGUGAGGAGUUAAACGCCUUUAUGCCUGCAUAUUCGUGUACUUUGGGUGUAUUUACCCGUGUGGUAAGUUAACAUCAAUUUUGGUCGUCAUAGAAUGGCUGGAGGAAUGUAGCUUCGAUCUCGUAUUGAAGUGUUAUAGCCUUCGGUAGAUGUGGUGAUCGGGAUUGAGGAUUGCAAUGAUACCCUUCGGGGCUAACCUGUUAGAUCAAAUUGAUGGUCAAUUGGUUACAUUCGUUAAGGAUGUUGACGUAAUGG
RNAcentral lists this ribosomal RNA (526 nucleotides) under uncultured Glomeromycotina. RNAcentral describes it as "LSU rRNA". It matches the Rfam family "Eukaryotic large subunit ribosomal RNA", at positions 204 to 637 of the family's 3401-position model. Lineage: Eukaryota; Fungi; Glomeromycota. The record is from RNAcentral.